GACGAACGCUGGCGGCGUGCUUAACACAUGCAAGUCGAACGGAAAGGCCCUGCUUUUGUGGGGUGCUCGAGUGGCGAACGGGUGAGUAACACGUGAGUAACCUGCCCUUGACUGUGGGAUAACUUCAGGAAACUGGGGCUCAUACCGGAUAGGAGCUCUUGCUGCAUGGUGGGGGUUGGUAAGAUUCGGCGGUUGGGGAUGGACUCGCGGCUUAUCAGCUUGUUGGGUGGGUAGUGGCUGACCAAGGUUUUGACGGGUAGCCGGCCUGAGAGGGGGACCGGCCCCAUUGGGACUGAGAUACGGCCCAGACUCGUACGGGAGGCAGCAGUGGGGAGUAUUGCACAAUGGGGGGAAGCCAGAUGCAGCAACGCCGCGUGCGGGAUGACGGGCUUCGGGUUGUGAACCGAUUUCGCCUGUGCCGAAGCGUGAGUGACGGUAAUGGGUAAAGAAGCACCGGCUAACUACGUG
Molecule: ribosomal RNA, 468 nt
Filed under: uncultured bacterium
Lineage: Bacteria
Description: partial 16S ribosomal RNA
Rfam family: Bacterial small subunit ribosomal RNA
Source: RNAcentral